AUUUUGAGUAUGCCCAAAAGUAGUUCUUAUUGACCUAGGAACACUGUAAAAAUUUCAUUUCGCUAGGUGCAACCGUUCAAAAGUUACAGGGGGGGGAGCUGAACUUUUUGAAGACCCUGUAGAAGAAAUCUAGCCUUGAUGAAGAAAUUUACCUUUCCUUCAUUAAGGGCGGUCUUACAAACCCUGCUACUUUGGGCAUCAUGGUCGGGAUCAGCGGCGUGGCAAAGGCUAGCUUGUUCUCGGACCUAACAAACUUUGAAGCCUAUUCGAUUUUCGAUACGUUCGUAACGUUUUGCCUGCGCCCGCCCUAAAUUCAAAGUUUGACAGGGUUGGCAGUUCCGACUACCUCAGCCAAUACCCUGGCGGAGGGAGUCGAAACUACAACGAGUCUUUCUUCACACCGGACUAGUGCUUCCGCGUUGCGUUCCGCCUUGCUUUCGCUCAAAAUGUAUUUUCGGUUAAAAGCCACCCCUUUUGGAGGUGGUAGUUCUUGUUGUCUUCCUUAGGUGAGUUAUGUGGUGGCUUGUGGCCACCACACUUCAUUUGUUCUUCCCUUCUCAGCUCUUGGGGUAGAUAUCUUGCACGCGAUGGCCUACCCCACGCGUUUCCUUUUUCGCUUCAUUUCGUGUUUUUCUGUAGUUGAGAGUCUCGUCAAGCCUCAACAUUACGUUCAACAUUACGCUACGUUCAGUGCCUAUUUUGGACUCACGACACCGGAAGUAAAACGGACCAUUGCCAACACAGGAACACAAUUGACGUUCGAAAAAUUUUCUGAAUGGUACGAUGGUUAUAUAUUUGGCAAUGAAAUUAUCUUCAACCCAUGCUCCGUUAUAAAAGCGAUUUCCGAAAACAAAUUCGACCAGUAUUGGGGACUUUCCGGAUCAACGCGGAUGAUCAAAGCUCUGAUUAAUUAUUCCGGCAGAGGCGGUAUGCAGGACAUGUUUUUCCUCCUCUGGGCAUACAUUGACAAAACGUUUCGAACCUGA
RNAcentral lists this long non-coding RNA (986 nucleotides) under Bemisia tabaci. Its description in RNAcentral is "lncRNA ENSSSA2NGG000411". Lineage: Eukaryota; Metazoa; Arthropoda; Insecta; Hemiptera; Aleyrodidae. The record is from RNAcentral.